This 1492-nucleotide ribosomal RNA is filed under the name Thymallus thymallus (grayling). RNAcentral describes it as "bacterial LSU rRNA". It matches the Rfam family "Bacterial large subunit ribosomal RNA", at positions 1094 to 2585 of the family's 2925-position model. Lineage: Eukaryota; Metazoa; Chordata; Actinopteri; Salmoniformes; Salmonidae. The record is from RNAcentral.
CAGGAUGUUGGCUUAGAAACCAGCCAUCAUUAAAGAAAGCGUAAUAGGCUCACUGAUCGAGUCGUCCUGCGCGGAAGAUGUAACGGGGCUAAACCAUGCACCGAAGCUGCGGCAGCGACACUGACGUGUUGUUGGGUAGGGGAGCGUUCUGUAAGCCGUUGAAGGUGGACUGUGAGGUCUGCUGGAGGUAUCAGAAGUGCGAAUGCUGACAUGAGUAGCGAUAAUGCGGGUGAAAAGCCCGCACGCCGAAAGCCCAAGGUUUCCUGUUCAACGUUCAUCGGAGCAGGGUGAGUCGGCCCCUAAGGCGAGGCAGAGAUGCGUAGCUGAUGGGAAGCAGGUUAAUAUUCCUGCACCGUCGUAUGAUGCGAUGGGGGGACGGAUCGCGGAAGGUUGUCUGACUGUUGGAAUAGUCAGUUUCUGGUUCAUGAAGGCGCUUAGGCAAAUCCGGGCACAUAAUUCAAGGGAUCGGGACGAGGCACUUAGGUGCUGAAGCAAUCGGAAGUGGUUCCAAGAAAAGCCUCUAAGCUUCAGUCAUACGAGACCGUACCGCAAACCGACACAGGUGGGCGAGAUGAGUAUUCUAAGGCGCUUGAGAGAACUCGGGAGAAGGAACUCGGCAAAUUGGUACGUAACUUCGGGAUAAGGUACGCCCUAGUAGUUUGACCACUUUACUGUGGAAGGAUGAACGGGUUGCAAUAAAAUGGUGGCUGCGACUGUUUAAUAAAAACACAGCCACUCUGCAAACACGAAAGUGGACGUAUAGGGUGUGACGCCUGCCCGGUGCUGGAAGAUUAAAUGAUGGGGUGCAAGCUCUUGAUUGAAGUCCCAGUAAACGGCGGCCGUAACAAUAACGGUCCUAAGGUAGCGAAAUUCCUUGUCGGGUAAGUUCCGACCUGCACGAAUGGCGUAACGACAGCCCAGCUGUCUCAACCGCGAACUCGGCGAAAUUGCACUACGAGUAAAGAUGCUCGUUACGCGCAGCAGGACGGAAAGACCCCGGGACCUUUACUACAGUUUGGUAUUGGUGUUCGGAGUGGCUUGUGUAGGAUAGGUGGGAGACGUUGAUGCGGCCACGCUAGUGGUGGUGGAGUCGUUGGUGAAAUACCACUCUGAUUGUUCUGGUUAUCUCACUGUGGACCGUGAUCCGGUUCAAGGACAGUGCCUGAUGGGUAGUUUGACUGGGGCGGUCGCCUCCUAAAGUGUAACGGAGGAGUCCAAAGGUUCCCUCAACCUGGUUGGCAAUCAGGUGUCGAGUGUAAGUGCACAAGGGAGCUUGACUGUGAGACUGACAGGUCGAGCAGGGACGAAAGUCGGGACUAGUGAUCCGGCAGUGGCUUGUGGAAGCGCUGUCGCUCAACGGAUAAAAGGUACCUCGGGGAUAACAGGCUGAUCUUGCCCAAGAGUCCAUAUCGACGGCAUGGUUUGGCACCUCGAUGUCGGCUCAUCACAUCCUGGGGCUGGAGCCGGUCCCAAGGGUAUGGCUCUGUUCGCC